RNAcentral lists this ribosomal RNA (385 nucleotides) under uncultured bacterium. RNAcentral describes it as "bacterial SSU rRNA". It matches the Rfam family "Bacterial small subunit ribosomal RNA", at positions 30 to 417 of the family's 1533-position model. The record is from RNAcentral.
AUUGAACGCUGGCGGCAUGCCUUACACAUGCAAGUCGAACGGCAGCACGGGAGCAAUCCUGGUGGCGAGUGGCGAACGGGUGAGUAAUAUAUCGGAACGUGCCCAGUCGUGGGGGAUAACGCAGCGAAAGCUGUGCUAAUACCGCAUACGAUCUAUGGAUGAAAGCGGGGGAUCGCAAGACCUCGCGCGAUUGGAGCGGCCGAUAUCAGAUUAGCUAGUUGGUGGGGUAAAAGCCCACCAAGGCGACGAUCUGUAGCUGGUCUGAGAGGACGACCAGCCACACUGGAACUGAGACACGGUCCAGACUCCUACGGGAGGCAGCAGUGGGGAAUUUUGGACAAUGGGCGAAAGCCUGAUCCAGCCAUGCCGCGUGCGGAGAAGGCCU